GGGGGAACCCUGAUCCAGCAAUGCCGCGUGAGUGAAGAAGGCCCUCGGGUUGUAAAACUCUUUCAUCAAUGAUGAUAAUGACAUUAGUUGAAGAAGAAGCUCCGGCUAACUUCGUGCCAGCAGCCGCGGUAAUACGAAGGGGGCUAGCGUUGUUCGGAAUCACUGGGCGUAAAGCGUAUGUAGGCGGAUCAAAAAGUUAGAUGUGAAAUCCCUGGGCUCAACCCAGGAACUGCAUUUAAAACUAGUGAUCUAGAAAUUGGCAAGGGUUAGUAGAAAUUCCAGUGUAGAGGUGAAAUUCGUAGAUAUUGGAAAGAAUACCAGAAGCGAAGGCGACUAACUAGACCAUUUUUGACGCUGAGAUACGAAAGCGUGGGUAGCAAACAGGAUUAGAUACCCUGGUAGUCCACGCAGUAAACGAUGAGUGCUAGUCGCUGGGACAAUAGUUUCAGUGUCGAAGCUAACGCAUUAAGCACUCCGCCUGGGAAGUACGGUCGCAAGAUUAAAACUCAAAUAAAUUGACGGGGGCCCGCACAAGCGGUGGAGCAUGUGGUUUAAUUCGAAGCAACGCGAAGAACCUUACCAGACCUUGACAUGGUAUGUUUAGAUUUCAGAAUCGAAAUCUUUCAGUUCGGCUGGCAUACACACAGGUGCUGCAUGGCUG
RNAcentral lists this ribosomal RNA (661 nucleotides) under uncultured Alphaproteobacteria bacterium. RNAcentral describes it as "bacterial SSU rRNA". It matches the Rfam family "Bacterial small subunit ribosomal RNA", at positions 374 to 1051 of the family's 1533-position model. The record is from RNAcentral. Lineage: Bacteria; Pseudomonadati; Pseudomonadota; Alphaproteobacteria.